This 88-nucleotide transfer RNA is filed under the name bacterium. RNAcentral describes it as "tRNA-Ser". It matches the Rfam family "tRNA". Rfam says of the family: Transfer RNA (tRNA) molecules are approximately 80 nucleotides in length. Their secondary structure includes four short double-helical elements and three loops (D, anti-codon, and T loops). Further hydrogen bonds mediate the characteristic L-shaped molecular structure. tRNAs have two regions of fundamental functional importance: the anti-codon, which is responsible for specific mRNA codon recognition, and the 3' end, to which the tRNAs corresponding amino acid is attached (by aminoacyl-tRNA synthetases). tRNAs cope with the degeneracy of the genetic code in two manners: having more than one tRNA (with a specific anti-codon) for a particular amino acid; and 'wobble' base-pairing, i.e. permitting non-standard base-pairing at the 3rd anti-codon position. The record is from RNAcentral. RNAcentral also lists the same sequence under 6 other names.
GGAGAGGUGGCAGAGUGGUCGAAUGCGCUCGCUUGGAAAGCGUGUGUAGGGAAACCUACCGAGGGUUCGAAUCCCUCCCUCUCCGCCA